CUUCUCCGCGCAGCGAGUGCUGUGACCACAGUGGGUUGAAACCGCGUAGGCUGGUCCCAACCUCAGCGGGGAAUUUUUUUUUGUUUUUUAAUAUUUAUUUGGCCGCGCCAGGUCUUAAUUGCGCCAUGUAGGAUCGUCAGUCUUCAUUGCAGCAUACAGGACCUUGUAGUUGCAUCAUGUGGACUCCUAUUUCCCUGACCAGGGCUGGAACCGGGGGCCCUCUGCAUUAUGAGCACAGAGUCUUAGCCACUGGACCACCAGGGAAGUUCCAUCAGCGGGGGAAUUUUAAUACAUUUCUCUCAUUAAUUUGCAACAGGGCCGCGAUUAAUUGUAGAAAGUAGGCAUCAUAUCCAGUCCCUAGCUCGUUAUGUUUAAUAAUGAAUGGAUAAGUGGGGACGCAGUACCAAAACAUUUAGCAAUCAUAAAGGAAUGAGAUGAGAAAUUACUGCUUUCCUAGACUUAUAAGAUAGGCUGUUGUCCUGGAGAGAUAAAUAAAUGGUAUUAUAAAGUUUCUUUUUUAUAAAAGCAAUUUCCAUGAAGCGUGUAAGAUACCUAAUGACCUUUUUCAUAGGCCAGCUUGGCCAGUGAACCUCAGUUUACCUCAACUGUUAACUUGUAGACUAGGAGGGACGGACAUUUCUUGUGUAUUUACCAGUGCUAGAUCCUCGGCUAACCGUUUUACUGCAUACUGUCUUUAAUUUUUACGAUGAUUUUCUGAAGUACGUGUUCUCUCUCUUUUUAACAGAUGAAUUCAUUUAGGCCAAGAGAGAUGAAGUGACUAAUUGAAGGUCACACAGUGUCCAGGAUGGAUUCCAGACUUUCUGAUACAUUUAUUGACCUGCACUAUCUUGUGGAUAUGUGAGUGAAUUCCACACCUCCCAUUUUACAGAUGAAGCCACUGAGAUACAGAGUAACUGACUAAAUAGUCACCACCCCACCCCUGGAGCCUCACAUGACUCUUUCAGAGUUGUCCGGUAUGUGACUGUGAUGCGUGAGGCACAGCAGGCUGUGAUAGAGACUAAUUGAUGGUGGUCUCAGCCUCUCUGACCACUUCAGUUACCAUCUGCACAUGGAUGAUGCCCAGAUCUCUCUCCAGACCAGACUAUCCAAUUGUUCACACGGACAACUUCACUGGGACGUUUUGAAGACUCAGCAGAAUGCAGCUCCUGCUCUUCCCCUCUUGCUCCUCCUCCAGUGUCCUGUCACGUGUGUGUGGGAUCUCAUUCCCUGAUCAGGUGCUGAACUUGGACCUCCUGCAUUGGGAGCUCGGAGUCUUACCCACUGGACCACCAGGGAAGUCCCAAAGGAGGUGUUUUCAGAAAAAAUUACUUAGAUGACACGUGAUCUUGUCACUGUAAUGUGGUAAUUGAGGCUGUGACUCUGGAGCUAACCUGAUGGGGACUGAAUUCUGACUCAGCCACUUCUUAUAUGACCUUGGCCACACCACAUGCCAUGCAUGGGAUCUCAGUUGCCUGACCAGGGGUUGAAGCCAUGCCCCUUGCAAUAGAGGCACAGAGUCUUAAGCACUGGACUGCCAGGGAAGUUCCCGGAUCUGCAUUACUCUGGGAUGAAUUUGCUGUAUAAAGCAGUUUGGGAUCAGAAUUCAGUUGACUAUGUGAUGAAGCUGCUGGGCUCACUGGUGUAGCAUCUCUCCUGGCUCUGGAAGCUCCUCCUAAGUGGAUCCUUAUUUGGAGACUGCUUUGAUAGGGCUAUUAUUAAUUUGGAAUGAUAAGUUCUAUUCAAAAAACAUGUAACUGUAGCAGGUGUUUCCUCCCUCCAGCCUAGGUAUAUUGAUAGGGUAUUAGUUGAGGAGCUGUUGAGUGGUAGUACACCCAUCAUGUUCUAGCUCUGUCCUCAUCUGCUCUUUUUGGAACUCUCGUCCCAUCCAGUUUCUUGCCUCUGACUCAAAAUGGAAGGAGGGUGAUUCAUACACAACAGAGCAUCCACGUAUUUCAUGGCAGCUACUAUCUGCCAGAGAUGAUGACAAAAGGUGGCUAACUCAUACAUGGCAUGUACCAGGAACUGCUCUAAGCACCUUACAUUUAUAAAUUCUUGAUGUGGUAGGUGCUCUGUACUGGGUUAUAUGGUGUUCCCCUAAAAAUUGUAUCCACCCAGAAUGUGAUUUUAUUUGGAAAUAAAGUCUUUGUAAGAUAUAAUCAAGUUAUGAAGUCAUUACUUGAUUGGGCCAUAAUCCAGUGCCUGGUGUUAUUACAACAAGUGGGAGACGACACAGACAGAAGACAACCAUGUUGAGAUGUAGGCAGGGUUUACUGGCAUCUAUUGGGAGCAGGAAGAGGCAAGGAAGGAUACUUCCCUAGAGCCUUUAGAGGGAGUGUGGCCCUGCUGACACCUAUAUUUUGGACUUCUAGCCUCUAGAACUGUGAGAGGAUAAAUUUGUGUUGUUUAAAGCCACCCAGUUUGUAGUAUUUGUUACGACAGCUCUAGGAAACCAAUGCAUGCUCUUACUGUCAUCUCUGUUUUCAGAUAAGGAAACUGAGGCCUGGAGAGGUCAAAUACUCAGAAAUCUCUUUAGGCCACUGCUUUGAUCCCUGGGCAUUCAUUGUAUUUUUUGCUAUUGUUAUUAUCAGCUCUGCACCUUCACUACAGCCUUCCGCUUAUGGUAGUGCUGGGGCUGAGCUGCUCAGAGGGCUCCUUUCUGUAACAUAGCAGGCUGUGGCAUUUCCCCCUCCUCGCCCUCUUCCCACUGUAAAGCAGAAAUGCUUACCUCUCAGGAGGCUUUUGGUUGAAGCCUGAUGAUUUCAGCAGGUCUCUUCCUGGCCGUACCCCUGCAGGUGAAAUCAGACUUUUCAUUUCCUUGCAAUGUCAGGGAAGUAUCAGUGAUAGGUCAGGGGAGGGUCACCAAACUUCUUCUGGCAAGUGUUUUUAUGCUUCCCGUUUGUGGCCUGCUGUAUUUCCUAGAAUCCCUGCCAGUAGACAGCUCAAGUCUUGUUUUUCUUUGGCGCUUUCAGGAUCUCACACAUAGUUUACAUGCUACGUCUCACAGUCUAUGGCCGUGAGCAGAGAAGGAGCAGCUUCUUGGUAGCACUGUGAGGACCCUGGUCACUUGUUCUUGAUUAAGUCGACCCACUGCAGUGGCUCUCUGCCUUGAUAAAAGGAAUGGGAGGAUAAGGGCAUUGUUUGACCCAGCUCAUCUCCCUGAACAGCACCUCGUCUGCCGUGGUCUCUUCUGCUGGCAUCCCAGAAGAGGGUUCCUCCCUUUGUCCCAGUGCUGGCCACAGAAUCCUGCCUGUUUUCUCAUAUAGACCUUUUCCUUUGGAUCCUAAUCUUAUUCUCAGCUCCUCUUACUAGACUGUGUAUCUGUUUUGUUUGCUGCUGUAUCCGAGGACUGAGUAAAGACUUGGCACUUAUUAGCCCAUCAAGAAAUAUUUAUUGAAUGAAGGAGUGAAUAUUGACCACAAAGUUUUGGAAUCCUGCUUUUUCUUGCUUCAUACUGAAGCCAGGCACCAGAUUUAGAACUUUAGAGGUCUAAGCAAUGGGAAGAUUAUAGUUGUUACUGUUGUUGUUGUUCAGUUGCUAAGUCAUGUCUUAAUCUUUGGGACCCCAUGGACUGCAGCAUGCCAGUCUUCCCUGUCUUUUCACUUUCUCUUGGAGUUCGCUUAGAUUCAUGUUCAUUGGGAGAUUAUGAUGAUCCGUAUAAUUUCAGCCCUGAGUAUGUAUUUCAGAAACAAUAUUAAGCACAAAAUAAGCAUAAGGAAGUCUAACAAAGUAUAAGGGAAAUCCAGCAAAAUUUUGAUAUUUACCAUAAUGACUACCUGGAUGAAUAGAAAAUAAUUUAAAACAUUCGUUAUUGUUGUUUCUGCUUUCCCAGUUCCCUGAGCGUGUGCUGUCAGGUAAUACUGCCUGAACCAGCCCUUCCCUGGCUUUGAAUUUCACCUUCAUUUCCUCAUAAUUCCAUCUGCUGAACCUGCCAGCCAGCCCUUUUCAUCGCCCAGUGGUGUCCAGACCACUGAGAGUCCAGCCUGGGCUAGUGCUCUGGGUUCCCUGGGGCCUUGCCAAGAAAGUCACAUAGAACAUGUACACUGCUGCAGGGCUCUUCACAGUGAGAAUUUCCAUGCUGAAUUGGGAUUUAGAGUCAGCAUAGCAUUUUAAAAGUUCUAUUUAUUUUAUUUUUGGUUGCACUGGGUCUUUGUUGCUGCACGUGGGCUUUCUGUAGUUGCGGUGAGUGGGCUGUCUCUUUGUUGCAGUGCCUGGGCUUCUCGUGGUGGUGGUCUCUCUUUGUGUGGAGCACAAAGGUGCAAGGGCUUUAGUAGUUGCGGGCUCAGUAGUAGCAGUUCACAGGCCUUAGAGUGUAUGGGUUUCAGUAGUUGCGGCUUGCAGGCUCUAGAGCGAUGGCUCAGAAGGUGUGGUCCACAGGCUUCGUUGCUCUGUGGCAUGUAGAAUCUUCCCAGACCAGGGAUUGAACUCAUGUUCCCUGCAUUGGCAGGCAGAUUCUUAUCCAUUGCACUAUCAGGGAGGUCCUUAGCUUAGCAUUCUGUGCCAAGUGAUUACACUUGACUCUUUUUCAUUGUAGUAAAUUAGAUAUAUCAAUAACCUCAGAUAUGCAGAUGACACCACCCUUAUGGCAGAAAGUGAA
This is a long non-coding RNA of Odocoileus virginianus texanus, 4594 nucleotides long. RefSeq lists it as uncharacterized. NCBI's taxonomy places the organism in Eukaryota, Metazoa, Chordata, Mammalia, Artiodactyla, Cervidae. The record is from RefSeq and is a predicted model, not a curated record.